CCUACGGGAGGCAGCAGUGGGGAAUUUUGGACAAUGGACGCAAGCCUGAUCCAGCUAUUCCGCGUGAGGGAUGACGGCCCUCUGGUUGUAAACCUCUUUAUUUGUGAACGAAAAGUAUCUCUCGAGUAAGUAGCUCUGCUUACGGUACUAUAAGAAUAAGCACAGGCUCACUACGUGCCAGCAGCCGCGGGAAUACGUCGGGGGCGAGCGUUAAUCGGAAUUACUGGGCGUAAGGGGUGUGCAGGCGGAUGAGUAAGACAGAUGUGAAAUCCCCGGGCUUAACCUGGGAACUACAUAUGUGACUGCUUGGCUAGAGUGCGUCAGAGGGAGGUGGAAUUCAAGGUGUAGCAGUGAAAUGCGUAGAUAUGUGGAAGAACACCGAUGGCGAAGGUAGCCUCCUGGGACGCAACUGACGCUCAUACACGAAAGCGUGGGGAGCAAACAGGAUUAGAUACCCGGGUAGUC
Molecule: ribosomal RNA, 465 nt
Filed under: uncultured bacterium
Lineage: Bacteria
Description: partial 16S ribosomal RNA
Rfam family: Bacterial small subunit ribosomal RNA
Source: RNAcentral